GAACUUAAGCAUAUCAAUAAGCGGAGGAAAAGAAACUAACGAGGAUUCCCCUAGUAACGGCGAGUGAAGCGGGAAAAGCUCAAAUUUAAAAUCUGGCGGUCUUUGGCCGUCCGAGUUGUAGCCUAGAGAAGCGUCUUCCGCGGCGGACCAUGUACAAGUCUCCUGGAACGGAGCGUCAUAGAGGGUGAGAAUCCCGUCCUUGACAUGGACCCCCGUCGCUCUGCGAUGCGCUCUCGAAGAGUCGAGUUGUUUGGGAAUGCAGCUCAAAAUGGGUGGUAAAUUCCAUCUAAAGCUAAAUAUUGGCGAGAGACCGAUAGCGAACAAGUACCGUGAGGGAAAGAUGAAAAGCACUUUGGAAAGAGAGUCAAACAGUACGUGAAAUUGUUAAAAGGGAAACGAUCAAAGUCAGUCGCGUCUGUCGGGACUCAGCCUAGCCUUCGGGCGUGGCGCAUUUCCCGGCUGACGGGCCAGCGUCGAUUUUGGCCGGCGGAAAAGGGUAGGAGGAAUGUGGCUCUUCACCGAGUGUUAUAGCCUCCGACCGCAAACGCCGGCCGGGAUCGAGCCCUCCCGCACGGCACGCCUCUGGCGGUGCCCGCGCUGGCGUAAUGGCUUUGACCGACCCGUCUUGAAACACGGACCAAGGAGUCUAACAUGUCUGCGAGUGUUUGGGCGAAAAACCCGGGCGCGUAAUGAAAGUGAUGGUCGGGAACCCCUCGUGGGGGCACCGACGCCCGUGGCCGACCUUCUGUGAAGCGCACGAGGCAGAGCAUGCAUGUUGGGACCCGAAAGAUGGUGAACUAUGCCUGAAUAGGGUGAAGCCAGAGGAAACUCUGGUGGAGGCUCGUAGCGAUUCUGACGUGCAAAUCGAUCGUCAAAUUUGGGUAUAGGGGCGAAAGACUAAUCGAACCAUCUAGUAGCUGGUUCCUGCCGAAGUUUCCCUCAGGAUAGCAGAAACUCAUGUCAGUUUUAUGUGGUAAAGCGAAUGAUUAGAGACCUUGGGGUUGAAACAACCUUAAUCUAUUCUCAAACUUUAAAUAUGUAAGCUCAGCACGCUUGCUUAGUUGAAGCGGCUGUAAAUGAGAGUUUCUAGUGGGCCAUUUUUGGUAAGCAGAACUGGCGAUGCGGGAUGAACCGAACGCGAGGUUAAGGUGCCGGAGUUCACGCUCAUCAGACACCACAAAAGGUGUUAGUUCAUCCAGACAGCAGGACGGUGGCCAUGGAAGUCGGAACCCGCUAAGGAGUGUGUAACAACUCACCUGCCGAAUGAACUAGCCCUGAAAAUGGAUGGCGCUCAAGCGUGACACCCAUACCUCGCCGUCGGCGCUGGCUAUGCGUCGACGAGUAGGCAGGCGUGGGGGUCGUGAAGAAGCCUUGGGGGUGACCCCGGGUGAAACGGCCGCCUAGUGCAGAUCUUG
This 1415-nucleotide ribosomal RNA is filed under the name Botryobasidium conspersum. Its description in RNAcentral is "eukaryotic LSU rRNA". It matches the Rfam family "Eukaryotic large subunit ribosomal RNA", at positions 30 to 1453 of the family's 3401-position model. Lineage: Eukaryota; Fungi; Basidiomycota; Agaricomycetes; Cantharellales; Botryobasidiaceae. The record is from RNAcentral.